UACGUAGGGGGCAAGCGUUGUUCGGAUUUACUGGGCGUAAAGGGCGCGUAGGCGGCCACCGCAAGUCGACUGUGAAAUCUCCGGGCUUAACCCGGAAAGGUCAGCCGAUACUGCGGGGCUAGAGUGCAGAAGGGGCAACUGGAAUUCUCGGUGUAGCGGUGAAAUGCGUAGAUAUCGAGAGGAACACCUGCGGCGAAGGCGGGUUGCUGGGCUGACACUGACGCUGAAGCGCGAAAGCUAGGGGAGCGAACGGG
This 254-nucleotide ribosomal RNA is filed under the name uncultured bacterium. RNAcentral describes it as "partial 16S ribosomal RNA". It matches the Rfam family "Bacterial small subunit ribosomal RNA", at positions 524 to 776 of the family's 1533-position model. The record is from RNAcentral.